CAGCCGCGGUAAUUCCAGCUCCAAUAGCGUAUAUUAAAGUUGUUGCAGUUAAAAAGCUCGUAGUUGAAUUUCGGGACCAAUAUGUCGGUCGUACUUUGUACGUACUAGCAUCAUUGGUUUCUCCCUUCUGAAGAACCGCGAUGUCAUUAAUUUGGUGUCGUGGGGAAUCAGGACUGUUACUUUGAAAAAAUUAGAGUGUUUAAAGCAGGCUCGCGCUUGAAUACAUUAGCAUGGAAUAAUGAAAUAGGACGUUUGAUUCUAUUUUGUUGGUUUCUAGGAUCGACGUAAUGAUUAAUAGGGAUAGUUGGGGGCAUUAGUAUUCAAUUGUCAGAGGUGAAAUUCUUGGAUUUAUUGAAGACUAACUACUGCGAAAGCAUUUUGCCAAGGAUGUUUUCAUUAAUCAAGAACGAAAGUUAGGGAUCGAAGACGAUCAGAUACCGUCGUAGUCUUAACCUUAACCAUAAACUAUGCCGACUAGGGGAUCGGAUGAUGUUAAUUUUUAUAAUGACUCAUUCGGCGCCUUACGGGAAAC
This 532-nucleotide ribosomal RNA is filed under the name uncultured Glomeromycotina. Its description in RNAcentral is "SSU rRNA". It matches the Rfam family "Eukaryotic small subunit ribosomal RNA", at positions 571 to 1098 of the family's 1831-position model. Lineage: Eukaryota; Fungi; Glomeromycota. The record is from RNAcentral.